This 344-nucleotide long non-coding RNA is filed under the name Cicer arietinum (chickpea). Its description in RNAcentral is "long non-coding RNA (CARI_LNC001587)". The record is from RNAcentral. Lineage: Eukaryota; Viridiplantae; Streptophyta; Magnoliopsida; Fabales; Fabaceae.
GUUCACCAAUCAAGUCAAGACCAACCAAAAGGAAUGAAACUCCUUGGAAUAACAAGAAGUAGAAGUGAAUCCCUUGAGCUGAAAGAAGGCUUCUUGCUGAAGCUGUUAGAAGCAAAAAAGCCAAAGCAAGUUCCUUCAUAUAUAUUCUGUUAUGUUUUUUCUUCUUCUUCUGAGCCACAUUUUCAUUUUCCUCUUGUCUUCUAAUCUCCUCUUUCAUUUCCUCUAAAUCAGGUUCUGAGGACCCUCUCUGAUGCUUUGGUUUCUCGAUCAAUGAAGCUAGGUCGCCCUCGGAUGAACGGCCUGAUUUCUUGGUGACUACCCAUUCGUAUGCACUUCCUAGCUGG